Molecule: ribosomal RNA, 253 nt
Filed under: uncultured bacterium
Lineage: Bacteria
Description: partial 16S ribosomal RNA
Rfam family: Bacterial small subunit ribosomal RNA
Source: RNAcentral
UACGGAGGGCGCAAGCGUUGUUCGGAAUCAUUGGGCGUAAAGCGCGUGUAGGCGGCCAUUUAAGUCGGAUGUGAAAGCCCGGGGCCCAACCCCGGAACUGCAUUCGAUACUGAGUGGCUGGAGUCCCGGAGAGGAAGGCGGAAUUCCAGGUGUAGAGGUGAAAUUCGUAGAUAUCGGGAGGAACAUCAGUGGCGCAGGCGGCCUUCUGGACGGUGACUGACGCUGAGACGCGAAAGCGUGGGGAGCAAACAGG